GUUAGGAAUAUUGGACAAUGGGCGCAAGCCUGAUCCAGCCAUGCCGCGUGAGUGAUGAAGGCCUUCGGGUUGUAAAGCUCUUUAGUCCACGAAUAUAAUGACUGUAGUGGAAGAAUAAGCCCCGGCUAACUUCGUGCCAGCAGCCGCGGUAAUACGAAGGGGGCGAGCGUUAUUCGGAAUCACUGGGCGUAAAGCGUGCGUAGGCUGUUUUGUAAGUCAGAAGUGAAAGCCCAGGGCUUAACCCUGGAAUUGCUUUUGAAACUACAAGACUCGAAUUCGGGAGAGGAUAGCGGAAUUGUCAGUGUAGCAGUGAAAUGCGUAGAUAUUGACAGGAACACCAGUGGCGCAAGCGGCUCACUGGUCCGGUACUGACGCUGAGGUGCGAAAGCGUGGGGAGCAAACAGGAUUAGAAACCCUUGUAGUCC
RNAcentral lists this ribosomal RNA (425 nucleotides) under uncultured bacterium. RNAcentral's name for it is "partial 16S ribosomal RNA". It matches the Rfam family "Bacterial small subunit ribosomal RNA", at positions 354 to 796 of the family's 1533-position model. The record is from RNAcentral.